This 253-nucleotide ribosomal RNA is filed under the name uncultured bacterium. RNAcentral's name for it is "partial 16S ribosomal RNA". It matches the Rfam family "Bacterial small subunit ribosomal RNA", at positions 524 to 776 of the family's 1533-position model. The record is from RNAcentral.
UACGAAGGGAGCUAGCGUUGUUCGGAAUCACUGGGCGUAAAGCGCACGUAGGCGGAUGUGUCAGUCAGGGGUGAAAUCCCGGAGCUCAACUUCGGAACUGCCUUUGAUACAGCACGUCUUGAGUCCGAUAGAGGUGGGUGGAAUUCCUAGUGUAGAGGUGAAAUUCGUAGAUAUUAGGAAGAACACCAGUGGCGAAGGCGGCUCACUGGACUGGUAUUGACGCUGAGGUGCGAAAGCGUGGGGAGCAAACAGG